ACGAAGGGUGCAAGCGUUACUCGGAAUUACUGGGCGUAAAGCGUGCGUAGGUGGUUGUUUAAGUCUGUCGUGAAAGCCCUGGGCUCAACCUGGGAAUUGCGAUGGAUACUGGGCGACUAGAGUGUGGUAGAGGAUAGUGGAAUUUCCGGUGUAGCAGUGAAAUGCGUAGAGAUCGGAAGGAACAUCUGUGGCGAAGGCGACUAUCUGGGCCAACACUGACACUGAGGCACGAAAGCGUGGGGAGCAAACAGGAUUAGAUACCCUGGUAGUCCACGCCCUAAACGAUGCGAACUGGAUGUUGGGCACAACUUGGUGCCCAGUAUCGAAGCUAACGCGUUAAGUUCGCCGCCUGGGGAGUACGGUCGCAAGACUG
This 373-nucleotide ribosomal RNA is filed under the name uncultured bacterium. RNAcentral's name for it is "bacterial SSU rRNA". It matches the Rfam family "Bacterial small subunit ribosomal RNA", at positions 525 to 896 of the family's 1533-position model. The record is from RNAcentral.